RNAcentral lists this ribosomal RNA (440 nucleotides) under uncultured bacterium. RNAcentral's name for it is "partial 16S ribosomal RNA". It matches the Rfam family "Bacterial small subunit ribosomal RNA", at positions 338 to 795 of the family's 1533-position model. The record is from RNAcentral.
CCUACGGGAGGCAGCAGUGGGGGAUAUUGCACAAUGGGGGAAACCCUGAUGCAGCGACGCCGCGUGAGUGAAGAAGUAAUUCGGUAUGUAAAGCUCUAUCAGCAGGGAAGAAAAUAACGGUAGCUGAGUAAGAAGCCGCGGCUAACUACGUGCCAGCAGCCGCGGUAAUACGUAGGGGGCAAGCGUUGUCCGGAAUUACUGGGUGUAAAGGGAGCGGAGACGGCAGUGCAAGUCUGGAGUGAAAGGCGGGGGCUCAACCCCCGGACUGCUCUGGAAACUGUACGGCUGGAGUGCAGGAGAGGUAAGUGGAAUUCCUAGUGUAGCGGUGAAAUGCGUAGAUAUUAGGAGGAACACCAGUGGCGAAGGCGGCUUACUGGACUGUAACUGACGUUGAGGCUCGAAAGCGUGGGGAGCAAACAGGAUUAGAUACCCGAGUAGUC